CUUGUUUUAAAAUAUCAAAUUUAAUGUGAAAGAAUUAAUGUGGAGUAAAUGAGUAUUUUGUCUGGUCUUUAGCGUACAGUGUGAUUUAACAGGCUACUUUACGUUGGCGAUUGAUACUAGCAGCAAUCAGCUUAGUUUAGUUGGUGUUUUUUAUUUUAACUAAGUUCUUUUAAGUUUUUGGUUAGUAUACUUAGUAUCGUGCUUUUUAACACUUUAAUCGAUUGACUGUUGAAUAAAAGUGGAUUAUUUAUGUGAGGUUUAUUGUUGUGAUAGAAUAUAACGUUAGUAGAAAGCCAUUUUUACGCGCAGAAGUGCUUGUUUCUUAAAAAAUCGUAAUAUUUAGACAAAAACAUCAUCCAGCAAUGAUAAAAUGCUAUGCUUUGGGAUUCAUAAUGGCGGCAACCAUGACGUCAUAGGCCCGGAGAGAGUAGAAAACCAACCCCAAGUUUUACAAUCUGUUUCCUAACUUGGUCUCCACUAACUUUGGCACGUCGUCCAUCAUUUUAAUAUUGCCAUUCCGAUGGGCUUAAAAUUAAAAUCAACUAAAUAUUUUCCAUGUUGUGGUAAAAAUGUUAUUUCUAUACUGCAUGGUUGUGGAUAUUGGGCACGAGAUAUGUCUAUAGGAAAAUUAGGCAAAGGUCAUUAUGGCUUGAACUAGGAAUAAAAUCAGCAGAAAAAUGACGUUUUAAAGUGAUACGUAAUUAGUUUGUGCGGCAAAGUAACUUUGUUCCAUAUUACCCCAUUAUUUAGUUUAGUAGGUUUUUAGUGCCAAACUUUAAAAAGUUUGUUUUAAUA
Ciona intestinalis (vase tunicate) is the source of this 795-nucleotide non-coding RNA. The record is from RefSeq and is a predicted model, not a curated record. Lineage: Eukaryota; Metazoa; Chordata; Ascidiacea; Phlebobranchia; Cionidae.